GGGAUUGUACUCGACUAUGUUCACUGAUGAUGUUGGUGUCAAUCAUGUCAUGGUGCAAAGCAACUCCAUGUCAUGGCUAAUGGUUAGCAUCACUGAUGAUGAUGGCGGCCACACCUAGCACAGCCUCGCUUUCUCCCGGCCUAACCAUCAUCACAGACACUGAACAUCAGAAUAUUACCACAUGAAGCAGACACCAGUUUCAGAAGCAAAAUACUACACAGGA
Molecule: long non-coding RNA, 223 nt
Filed under: Setaria italica (foxtail millet)
Lineage: Eukaryota; Viridiplantae; Streptophyta; Magnoliopsida; Poales; Poaceae
Description: long non-coding RNA (SITA_LNC002604)
Source: RNAcentral